RNAcentral lists this ribosomal RNA (495 nucleotides) under uncultured bacterium. Its description in RNAcentral is "partial 16S ribosomal RNA". It matches the Rfam family "Bacterial small subunit ribosomal RNA", at positions 28 to 505 of the family's 1533-position model. The record is from RNAcentral.
GAUGAACGCUGGCGGCGUGCCUAAUACAUGCAAGUCGAGCGAACGGACGAGAAGCUUGCUUUUCUGAUGUUAGCGGCGGACGGGUGAGUAACACGUGGAUAACCUACCUAUAAGACUGGGAUAACUUCGGGAAACCGGAGCUAAUACCGGAUAAUAUUUUGAACCGCAUGGUUCAAAAGUGAAAGACGGUCUUGCUGUCACUUAUAGAUGGAUCCGCGCUGCAUUAGCUAGUUGGUAAGGUAACGGCUUACCAAGGCAACGAUGCAUAGCCGACCAGAGAGGGUGAUCGGCCACACUGGAACUGAGACACGGUCCAGACUCCUACGGGAGGCAGCAGUAGGGAAUCUUCCGCAAUGGGCGAAAGCCUGACGGAGCAACGCCGCGUGAGUGAUGAAGGUCUUCGGAUCGUAAAACUCUGUUAUUAGGGAAGAACAUAUGUGUAAGUAACUGUGCACAUCUUGACGGUACCUAAUCAGAAAGCCACGGCUAACUACG